CUCCAGGGCAACCGUGGCUUUCGAUUGUUACUGUGGGAACUGGAGGUAACAGUCUACAGCCAUGGUCGCCCCGCAGCA
Homo sapiens (human) is the source of this 78-nucleotide microRNA precursor. It matches the Rfam family "mir-132 microRNA precursor family". The record is from Rfam. Lineage: Eukaryota; Metazoa; Chordata; Mammalia; Primates; Hominidae.